RNAcentral lists this transfer RNA (74 nucleotides) under Treponema sp. RNAcentral's name for it is "tRNA-Arg". It matches the Rfam family "tRNA". From Rfam's summary of the family: Transfer RNA (tRNA) molecules are approximately 80 nucleotides in length. Their secondary structure includes four short double-helical elements and three loops (D, anti-codon, and T loops). Lineage: Bacteria; Pseudomonadati; Spirochaetota; Spirochaetia; Treponematales; Treponemataceae. The record is from RNAcentral.
GCGUUCGUAGCUCACAUGGAUAGAGCAACGGACUUCGAAUCCGUAGGUAGCAGGUUCGAUUCCUGCCGGACGCA